This is a long non-coding RNA of Cyprinus carpio (common carp), 694 nucleotides long. RefSeq lists it as uncharacterized. The transcript is spliced from 3 exons. The record is from RefSeq and is a predicted model, not a curated record. NCBI's taxonomy places the organism in Eukaryota, Metazoa, Chordata, Actinopteri, Cypriniformes, Cyprinidae.
UCAUAAAGCUGCGCCGCGCUCCUGCAUAUAUUUUGAUUCAACUGAAGUCAGGUUUGUGGUUUUACGCAUUUAAAGAUUUUAAACCAAUACAAACUGUAAUAUUAAUCUAAUUGUUUUUACAAGCUUUGUAAAAUAAAUAGAUCAUUAUUAAAUGUAACGUUUAAUGUUUUAUUUAACGUUAUUUUUGUGAGUAAAGCGCACCUGCACACGAGAAUCAGAAAAGACGCGUCUCCUUUUGCUCCUUUAAUGCAAAGUGAACACGGAUUCAGAUAAACUAAACUGAGAUCCAUGUGACACACUAUUAUAAAGAUGUCGUUUAUUAAAGAGGAGAGUGAAGAUGUAAAGAUUGAAGAAACAUUCAGAGCAAACUUGAAGAUACUGAGAUACAGACAGACCUGGUGGCCUUGAAAGAGGAGAGUCCAGAACUGAAUAAUGUGAAAGAAGAGAAGCAUCUGUAUGAGAAACAUCAUAAUUUUAUAACUGCAAACAAUAUUUUAGUUGUUCAGACUAAAAGGUCUUCCUCACGAAAAAGAGCUCAAACGACUAGGUCUAGAUGUUAUUUCAACUGCCAACAGUGUGGAAAGAGUUUCACUAAAAAAGGAAACCUUGAUGGCCACAUGAGAAUUCACACUGGAGAGAAACCUCACAUAUGCCCUCAGUGCGGAAAGAGUUUUACACAUCAAGGAACCCUUAA